CAACUCUCAACAACGGAUAUCUU
This 23-nucleotide non-coding RNA is filed under the name Gallus gallus (chicken). The record is from RNAcentral. Lineage: Eukaryota; Metazoa; Chordata; Aves; Galliformes; Phasianidae.